Molecule: long non-coding RNA, 452 nt
Filed under: Numida meleagris (helmeted guineafowl)
Lineage: Eukaryota; Metazoa; Chordata; Aves; Galliformes; Numididae
Description: lncRNA (ENSNMEG00000012902.1)
Source: RNAcentral
AUGAGUGCAAUGCAUGAUACGGGACACUCCGUGCCUGGCAGCAGCUCCUGGCCCAACUGGAAGGGAGCAUCAUAUGGCAUAAAGGCCUUGCAAACCCCACAGCUGGCAGCGCUCCUCCCACCAUGUCCUCGACCAGCCAGAAUAAGGAGGAGAACAGACCCUCAGGGCACUCCUGGAUCCGCAGUGGCCCGACCGAAAGUUCAGACUGUGUUAUACAAGCGAGCAGGUUCUUUCCAGCAGUGGAGCUUGUUUAGCCAUCUUCCAAACCUCAGUGAUCAGGGCAGUGGUUAAGAACAAGCUUCAAACAAGAAGUGCGAGUAAAAUUUUGAUGGGAUGAAGAUCACACUGAUGGAGAAGUUGCUUGAUUGAAGGAAGUUCCAUUCGUUAUGAUCAUGGUUGGUUGCUGCUCACAAUAUAGCAUCUAUUUGAAAGACCGCUCUUUGUGAGUAAAG